GACGAACGCUGGCGGCGGGCUUAACACAUGCAAGUCGAACGGAAAGGCCCUGCUUUUGUUGGGUGCUCGAGUGGCGAACGGGUGAGUAACACGUGAGUAACCUGCCCUUGACUUUGGGAUAACUUCAGGAAACUGGGGCUAAUACCGGAUAGGAGCUCCUGCUGCAUGGUGGGGGUUGGAAAGUUUCGGCGGUUGGGGAUGGACUCGCGGCUUAUCAGCUUGUUGGUGGGGUAGUGGCUUACCAAGGCUUUGACGGGUAGCCGGCCUGAGAGGGUGACCGGCCACAUUGGGACUGAGAUACGGCCCAGACUCCUACGGGAGGCAGCAGUGGGGAAUAUUGCACAAUGGGCGGAAGCCUGAUGCAGCAACGCCGCGUGCGGGAUGACGGCCUUCGGGUUGUAAACCGCUUUCGCCUGUGACGAAGCGUGAGUGACGGUAAUGGGUAAAGAAGCACCGGCUAACUACGUG
RNAcentral lists this ribosomal RNA (468 nucleotides) under uncultured bacterium. Its description in RNAcentral is "partial 16S ribosomal RNA". It matches the Rfam family "Bacterial small subunit ribosomal RNA", at positions 28 to 507 of the family's 1533-position model. The record is from RNAcentral.